Molecule: long non-coding RNA, 1255 nt
Organism: Sitophilus oryzae (rice weevil)
Lineage: Eukaryota; Metazoa; Arthropoda; Insecta; Coleoptera; Curculionidae
Exons: 3
Source: RefSeq, a predicted model, not a curated record
UCUUAAAAUUUUUCCGGUGAAAUUUGAUAGAAAAACUGAAUUUUCACUACACUAUUCGAGUUUAUUCUGCGCCUUAAGGCUGUGUUAAGGCUUGUUUAACCUUCUUAAAAUGUAAGUACCCAUUAUUUUGCAUGUUUUCUAUGUUUUUUUUUAAGUAUUUCAAUUACAUCAUCAAAAACUGAUGUAUUUUUCCUAUUUCCAUAAUUUUCUUUUUCAAAAUCGAGUUAAUUGGAGUAUAGAUACUUUCCCUGAUGUCCCUAUUGUACAUUAAAAGUAUUGUUACUUAGAAUAAUGCUCUAUAUUUAGAGCUAUUCGGUAUAUUUUGAACCAUUUUUUUGCCCAGAGGUUAAAGAUGUUUUUUAUUCCUAAAGAUUUAGGUUUUUAUUCGUACAGGCAAACGAGUAUUUUCUACGUUGUUUAGAAUAAAUCAGUGUUAGUAUACCUAAAUGGGGGCCCAUUCUAAAUAAUUAUAUAACACUUUCAGAUAAAAUAAAAUAUUAACACAUAUAUAAUAGGUACUAUUGCACUAUCGUCUGAUUUUUGUUAACAAGUUUGCAUCGUUUAAGUGUAAUGUUUAAUUAAUAUAUAUUUUUCUUUUUUUGGAAAUGCUCCAUGCUUGAUGAUACACACGAGCACAUAAAGAUCACCUAAAAGAAGAGACCUGGGUCACCUCUUGUAUAAUCCUGAUGUUUGGCCAUCAUUUUGUUUUACGAGUUGGUCUUCCAUUAUCUGAUUAAAAAUUUUGUACACAACAAAUUGAUAGAUCAACCAUCUUAUUCAAGAUACCAUCAGACUAAUUAUAUUAGACAUUCAACAUUCAACAGUGGAAUGAGGAUGAAAUUCAUCAUUGAAGGUUAACUAAAUAACUUUAGAUGUUGUACAACAAAUUGAUGGAUGUAUACAGUUCCAGGGCAGUACAUUUAUCCUUUGACGAAUAUUGCCAACAAUGCAUCAGGACUUGAGUAUAUCAAAAAUUGGUAAAAUACAUAUAUUUUACUGGUUUUUCAUCAGUGGAUUUCAUCAUUUUUAAAUUUAAACAAGAAAAAAAAUUUCAUUGGGUCUCUGAGUUUAUUUUUUAUGGUUCCUUAUUAUCUUGAAGACAAAUUCAAGCUAUCUAUUUUUAAUUUCGACCAAUUUUCUGCUUUUUGCCACUUCUUUUUCUUUUUGGUAUGAUACUAUGUUCUUAAAACAUUAUGUUGUUCAAUGGUGAACUGUCAUUUUUCUAUAAUAUCUUGACUCUCAUAUUUCUUCAUUA